GGUAGUCUAGCUUGGUUAGGAUAGAGGACUGUGGAUCCUUUGACGCGAGUUCAAAGCCCAUCCCU
This 65-nucleotide transfer RNA is filed under the name Candidatus Micrarchaeota archaeon CG1_02_51_15. RNAcentral describes it as "tRNA-His". The record is from RNAcentral. Lineage: Archaea; Nanobdellati; Microcaldota.